AUUGAACGCUGGCGGCAUGCUUUACACAUGCAAGUCGAACGGUAACAGGCCUUCGGGUGCUGACGAGUGGCGAACGGGUGAGUAAUGCAUCGGAACGUACCCAGAGGUGGGGGAUAACGCAGCGAAAGCUGUGCUAAUACCGCAUGUGAUCUGAGGAUGAAAGCGGGGGACCGAGCAGCAAUGUUUGGCCUCGCGCCUUUGGAGCGGCCGAUGUCGGAUUAGCUAGUUGGUGGGGUAAAGGCCUACCAAGGCGACGAUCCGUAGCUGGUCUGAGAGGACGACCAGCCACACUGGUACUGAGACACGGCCCAGACUCCUACGGGAGGCAGCAAUGGGGAAUUUUGGACAAUGGGCGCAAGCCUGAUCCAGCAAUGCCGCGUGCGGGAAGAAGGCCUUCGGGUUGUAAACCGCUUUUGGCAGGAACGAAACGGUGUCCGCUAAUACCGGGCGCUAAUGACGGUACCUGCAGAAUAAGCACCGGCUAACUACGUG
RNAcentral lists this ribosomal RNA (492 nucleotides) under uncultured bacterium. RNAcentral describes it as "partial 16S ribosomal RNA". It matches the Rfam family "Bacterial small subunit ribosomal RNA", at positions 30 to 507 of the family's 1533-position model. The record is from RNAcentral.